RNAcentral lists this ribosomal RNA (253 nucleotides) under uncultured bacterium. RNAcentral's name for it is "partial 16S ribosomal RNA". It matches the Rfam family "Bacterial small subunit ribosomal RNA", at positions 524 to 776 of the family's 1533-position model. The record is from RNAcentral.
UACGUAGGGUGCAGACGUUAAUCGGAAUUACUGGGCGUAAAGCGUGCGCAGGCGGUUUGCUAAGAGAGAUGUGAAAUCCCCGGGCUUAACCUGGGAACUGCGUUUCUAACUGGCAGGCUAGAGUGUGGCAGAGGGGGGUGGAAUUCCACGUGUAGCAGUGAAAUGCGUAGAGAUGUGGAGGAACACCGAUGGCGAAGGCAGCCCCCUGGGCUAACACUGACGCUCAUGCACGAAAGCGUGGGGAGCAAACAGG